Long non-coding RNA from Perca fluviatilis (European perch), 1060 nucleotides. RefSeq lists it as uncharacterized. The record is from RefSeq and is a predicted model, not a curated record. Lineage: Eukaryota; Metazoa; Chordata; Actinopteri; Perciformes; Percidae. The transcript has 3 exons.
AUUUGUUCAAUGUGAUAUGUGCUAAUUCUCUUUAUUCUCCUUUUUUAUUCUCCUCUUCAAGAGCAAAGGAGGAGUGAAGGGGCAGAGGAUUAAGGAAGUCCUGUCUAUCACAGAUUUGUGUGACAACAUCAACACCAGGAGGGAGUGUAUCCUGAGAGGCCUCAUCAUCUACCUCAAUGAAGAUCCAGACACCUUCUUCAAAGAAUAUCUGGCACUUGCGACUGAGGAUGCAGAAAGGGACCUAGCAACCACAGUCGUGGGGAUUUAUGUGAUCCGAAGAGAUGGGGAUCAGGAGCCUGAGGACAUUUGUGUUGUGAUUGAAGGCAUCAAAGUCCUGAGCAACUUGGGCAGUGUCAUCAUGGGCUUCGUCAUGCUUUUUGGGCUCAUUUAUGCCCUUGAUCUGAGUUUUCCAGACAACCUCAAAUACACCUGAAGUUUUUCCAGAAGAUCAUAAUGAAUUUGGAUGGGCACAAGCUGAAUGCAAAGAUACAACAGCUGAAAAUCAAGUUGUUUGCAUAGAACUAAACCACGUGACAAUCUACCUUGAUGGAGGGUUUAAGACUGAGAUUACUUGGGCUUGGACAAGUGUUUACACCCAGAAAGUUUGGCCAUUUCACCUCUCCAUCAUAAUUUGUUGACUCUACCUCCUUUUAUAAAAUAUUGUGAAUGUUUUGUGAUCUUUUUUUCUAUUUUUUUUUCUUUUGCUAGUCUUAAUAGUGGUCCACAAUAUUUUUUUCUGUUACCAGCUAUGAUAACACACCAAUCACCAAUGGUAGUUCAAGGCAAGCAAUUACAAUACUUAUCCAAUACAGAGUUUUUGCAGUGCAUUCUAUCCAGCUACGCAGGAGUGUCAAACUCAACUUCACUAAGGGCCAAACUGGAAAAUGAGAAUUGCAUUAAGGGCCAACAUGUAUAGUUUAUUGACAUGCUUUUAUUAUUUUACAUUUAUAUACUUGUGUUUUAUCUAGUAAAAAAGUGAAUAUGUUGAUAUUUUUGUUUGUUUAAAGAUGCCCUCCAGACAUUAGUAUUAAGAUGCAUACAAAUUUGCUUGGAACAAUAA